RNAcentral lists this ribosomal RNA (285 nucleotides) under Clostridioides difficile. RNAcentral describes it as "partial 23S ribosomal RNA". It matches the Rfam family "Bacterial large subunit ribosomal RNA", at positions 534 to 818 of the family's 2925-position model. Lineage: Bacteria; Bacillati; Bacillota; Clostridia; Peptostreptococcales; Peptostreptococcaceae. The record is from RNAcentral.
GGGAGUGAAAUAGAACCUGAAACCCUGCACUUACAAGCUGUGGAAGCACAUUUCUUGUGUGACCGCGUACUUUUUGUAGAACGGGCCAACGAGUUACGUUAAGUAGCAAGGUUAAGCACUUAAGGUGGGGAGCCGUAGCGAAAGCGAGUUUUAACUGAGCGUUCAGUUACUUGACGUAGACCCGAAACCGGGCGACCUACCCAUGAGCAGGAUGAAGCGAAAGUAAAAUUUCGUGGAGGUCCGAACCCACGAGCGUUGAAAAGCUCGGGGAUGACUUGUGGGUAG